Long non-coding RNA from Chinchilla lanigera (long-tailed chinchilla), 582 nucleotides. RefSeq lists it as uncharacterized. Lineage: Eukaryota; Metazoa; Chordata; Mammalia; Rodentia; Chinchillidae. The record is from RefSeq and is a predicted model, not a curated record. The transcript has 3 exons.
UGUAGCCAGGAGGCCCUCACCAGAAGCCAACUCAGUGAGGCUACCUGGCCUUUGGCUUUCGGCCUUUAAACUUGUAAAUCUACUGUGAAUGUUAUGAGCCAAGCCCAGAUCACCAACUUCAAACAGAAUUACAGGUACCUGUAGAGAGUGAUGCUGGCAGACAGGCUUUUACUAAAACCAGCAGAGCAAAGGCUUACUAGAGGCUCUCCUGAGUUUCUCCCUGCUUUAUACCCUGCAAAGGAGAAAAAAAAAAAAUCUCCUUUUGGACAAUUCUAAGCUACAUAGGCCCAUGUUUGCAUUUUUUUCAUCUCAUUCUACAUAGAACUUGUCAGAGAAGCUCAGAAGCUGUUAUCCAACCCAAGGGAAGGACCUGGGAGUGAUGUUUUGGAAAGUUACUGAGUUGGUGCCUAUCACAGGCAAAUUUGAAAAAUACUGCCCUAGGAUACAGCCAAUCGCCACCGAAGGCCUGUGCAGUGCGCAGCAGCGGCUCCUAUCCGGGCUCUGAAGCCACAUUACCCGCCAUGCUUCUCUUCAGGGCAGACGCGAGGUGUGCGUUAGAAUUUCCACGCUCUCAUAGGAAAA